UCUGGGCGCAGUGGUGCACGCCUGUACUCCCAGCUACUCAGAAGGCUGAGGCGGGAGGAUCACUGGAGCCCCGGAGUUCUGGGGCUGUAGUGCACUAUGCCCAUAGGGUAUCCACUCUAAACUUGGCAUCAAUAUGGUGGCCUCCUGGGAGCAGGGCACCACCAGGUUGCCUGAAGGAGGGGUGAACUGGCCCAGGUAGGAAACAGAGCAGGUCAGAACUCUGGUGCUGAUCAACAGUAGGAUUGUGCCUGUAAAUAGCCACUGCACUGCAGCCUGGGCAACGGGAAACCCAGUGUCU
This 298-nucleotide signal recognition particle RNA is filed under the name Microcebus murinus (gray mouse lemur). RNAcentral describes it as "Metazoan signal recognition particle RNA (ENSMICG00000033927.2)". It matches the Rfam family "Metazoan signal recognition particle RNA". From Rfam's summary of the family: The signal recognition particle (SRP) is a universally conserved ribonucleoprotein. It is involved in the co-translational targeting of proteins to membranes. The record is from RNAcentral. Lineage: Eukaryota; Metazoa; Chordata; Mammalia; Primates; Cheirogaleidae.